Long non-coding RNA from Oncorhynchus tshawytscha (Chinook salmon), 160 nucleotides. RefSeq lists it as uncharacterized. The record is from RefSeq and is a predicted model, not a curated record. The transcript has 2 exons. Lineage: Eukaryota; Metazoa; Chordata; Actinopteri; Salmoniformes; Salmonidae.
AGGUAAAACAACAGAGAGGAAGAGGGGGAAGCAGGGAGCGAAGAAGAGAGCCAUGAGGUAAAACAACAGAGAGGAAGAGGGGGAAGCAGGGAGCGAAGAAGAGAGCCAUGAUGUACAACAACAUAGAGGAAGAGGGGGAAGCAGGGAGCGAAGAAGAGAG